CAGUAGCCGCGGGAAUACGUAGGUGGCAAGCGUUAUCCGGAAUUAUUGGGCGUAAAGCGCGCGUAGGCGGUUCUUUAAGUCUGAUGUGAAAGCCCACGGCUCAACCGUGGAGGGUCAUUGGAAACUGGAAAACUUGAGUGCAGAAGAGGAAAGUGGAAUUCCAUGUGUAGCGGUGAAAUGCGCAGAGAUAUGGAGGAACACCAGUGGCGAAGGCGACUUUCUGGUCUGUAACUGACGCUGAUGUGCGAAAGCGUGGGGAUCAAACAGGAUUAGAUACCCCAGUAGUCCCUGUCCUUAUACC
This 301-nucleotide ribosomal RNA is filed under the name uncultured bacterium. RNAcentral describes it as "partial 16S ribosomal RNA". It matches the Rfam family "Bacterial small subunit ribosomal RNA", at positions 509 to 808 of the family's 1533-position model. The record is from RNAcentral.